AACCUGGUUGAUCCUGCCAGAGGCCUUUGAUAUUGGGAUUCGACUAAGCCAUGCGAGUCGAGAGGCUUCGGCCCUCGGCUGACGGCUCAGUAACACGUGGAUAAUCUGCCCUUAGGUGGAGGAUAACCUCGGGAAACUGAGAAUAAUACUCCAUAGGUCUAGGAUGCUGGAAUGCAUCUAGACUGAAAACUCCGGUGCCUAAGGAUGAGUCUGCGGACUAUCAGGUUGUAGUCAGGGUAAAGACCUGACUAGCCUACGACGGAUAUGGGUUGUGAGAGCAAUAACCCAGAGAUGAUAUCUGAGACACGAUAUCAGGCCCUACGGGGCGCAGCAGGCGCGAAAACUUCACACUGUGCGAAAGCACGAUGAGGGAAUCCCAAGUGCCAGCUCGUAAGAGUUGGCUGUUUUUCUGUCUAAAACACAGAGAGAGUAAGAGCUGGGUAAGACGGGUGCCAGCCGCCGCGGUAAUACCUGCAGCUCGAGUGGUGGCCGCUAUUAUUGGGCCUAAAACGUCCGUAGCCGGUUUGGUAAAUGCCUGGGUAAAUCGUGUAGCUUAACUAUACGAAUUCCGGGUAGACUGCUAAACUUGAGACCGGGAGAGGCUAGAGGUACUCCUGGGGUAGAGGUGAAAUUCUGUAAUCCUGGGGGGACCACCAGUGGCGAAGGCGUCUAGCUAGAACGGAUCUGACGGUGAGGGACGAAGCCCUGGGGCGCAAACCGGAUUAGAUACCCGGGUAGUCCAGGGUGUAAACGCUGCUUGCUUGAU
This 766-nucleotide ribosomal RNA is filed under the name uncultured organism. Its description in RNAcentral is "bacterial SSU rRNA". It matches the Rfam family "Archaeal small subunit ribosomal RNA", at positions 1 to 772 of the family's 1478-position model. The record is from RNAcentral.